This is a non-coding RNA of Phrynosoma platyrhinos (Desert horned lizard), 72 nucleotides long. NCBI's taxonomy places the organism in Eukaryota, Metazoa, Chordata, Lepidosauria, Squamata, Phrynosomatidae. The record is from the annotation of a GenBank genome assembly.
GCCAGAAUGGCAUAGUGGUUUGAGUUUUGGACUAUGACUCUGGAGAUCAGGGUUCAAAUCCCUGCUUGGUCA